GGCGAGUGAAGCGGCAACAGCUCAAAUUUGAAAUCUGGCCUCCUCAGGGGGCCCGAGUUGUAAUUUGCAGAGGGUGCUUUGGUGUUGACAGCGGUCUAAGUUCCUUGGAACAGGACGUCACAGAGGGUGAGAAUCCCGUACGUGGUCGCCCGUCUUCGCCGUGUAAAGCCCCUUCGACGAGUCGAGUUGUUUGGGAAUGCAGCUCUAAAUGGGAGGUAAAUUUCUUCUAAAGCUAAAUAUUGGCCAGAGACCGAUAGCGCACAAGUAGAGUGAUCGAAAGAUGAAAAGCACUUUGGAAAGAGAGUCAAAAAGCACGUGAAAUUGUUGAAAGGGAAGCGCUUGCAGCCAGACUUGCCCGUAGUUGCUCACCCGGACUUUUGCCCGGGGCACUCUUCUGCGGGCAGGCCAGCAUCAGUUUGGGCGACCGGAUAACGGCCUCUGUCAUGUAUCUUCCUUCGGGAUGACCUUAUAGGGGAGGCGUAAUGCGGCCAGCCUGGACUGAGGUCCGCGCAUCUGCUAGGAUGCUGGCGUAAUGGCUGUAAGCGGCCCGUCUUGAAACACGGACCAAGGAGUCUAACAUCUAUGCGAGUGUUUGGGUGUCAAGCCCGAGCGCGUAAUGAAAGUGAACGGAGGUGGGAACCCUCUAGGGGGCGCACCAUCGACCGAUCCUGAUGUUCUCGGAUGGAUUUGAGUAAGAGCAUAGCUGUUGGGACCCGAAAGAUGGUGAACUAUGCUUGAAUAGGGUGAAGCCAGAGGAAACUCUGGUGGAGGCUCGCAGCGGUUCUGACGUGCAAAUCGAUCGUCAAAUUUGGGCAUAGGGGCGAAAGACUAAUCGAACUAUC
This 842-nucleotide ribosomal RNA is filed under the name Poaceascoma taiwanense. RNAcentral's name for it is "partial large subunit ribosomal RNA". It matches the Rfam family "Eukaryotic large subunit ribosomal RNA", at positions 88 to 944 of the family's 3401-position model. Lineage: Eukaryota; Fungi; Ascomycota; Dothideomycetes; Pleosporales; Lentitheciaceae. The record is from RNAcentral.